GGCCCCGCACAAGCGGUGGAGCAUGUGGUUUAAUUCGAUGCAACGCGAAGAACCUUACCAAGGCUUGACAUACUACAGAUUUCUUUGAAAAAAUGGAAAGUGCCUUCGGGAAUGUAGAUACAGGUGGUGCAUGGCUGUCGUCAGCUCGUGUCGUGAGAUGUUGGGUUAAGUCCCGCAACGAGCGCAACCCUUAUUUUUAGUUGCUAAUUUAGUUUAGUUUUCUAGAAAGACUGCCGGUGACAAACCGGAGGAAGGUGAGGAUGACGUCAAGUCGAGCAUGCCCCUUAUGCCUUGGCUACACACGUGCUACAAUGGUUAAGACAAAGAGUUGCGAGCUCGUGAGAGUCAGCUAA
Molecule: ribosomal RNA, 353 nt
Filed under: uncultured bacterium
Lineage: Bacteria
Description: bacterial SSU rRNA
Rfam family: Bacterial small subunit ribosomal RNA
Source: RNAcentral